GGUGAGAAGGACUGGAAGGAGUACUGCUGGGCAGCACUCUAAUGUACAUCACCUCCCACGAUCCUUGGGACCAGGUACAGUGUCUAGUAUAGUGGGUAGUACAUCUGUGGUUUUAUUCCGUCCCUGGGACUGAAAGUUAAGAGGGUGGGCUUUUGGGUUUAGUUCAUCGUCGGGGCGACGAUGCAGAAGCCGGGGGUGGAUUGUGACAGAAUGAAUGAGGUUCAGGUGGUGAUUGACACUCCUGACCACCAAUCAGUAGCGAGCAGGCACUAUUUAGAGUGGGUUGGUUUGAGCCUGGCAUGUGUCACGCCCGGAUCCUCCCCUUUUGCGGUUGCUAAAGACAUUUCGGGUAUGUGCUGCUAGUAUGUAGCGUUGGCUAAUAAGUUUUUCUUUGCUCAUUGCACUAAUGGCUCAUGUGUGUAUCCUUAGCCUGUCUUUUCAGUGUGUCCCUGUUGGAUGCUGCUUUGGAUCUGUUUAUUGCCCUCCCUGCAGUUUAACAGCAGGUUAUUUGAAGGCUGCGUAUCCUGAGCGGUGAAUUGAUUCUCAGGAACUUAUCUAUCCGCGUUUGGAUCCUCCUUUUUCGUCCUGGGUGAUUAUUGCUGCGAUUCGACUUUUCCUCGCUGCGUGCCGAGUGAACAACCUCGGCUUACAACUAUUUAAAAGGGAAUUCUGCUGCUGCCAUUUGGCUUCUGUGAUUUGUUUUAACCGGUAUUGUCUGGUCUACUGUGGGGUCGAGCAACGUGCAAGUAUCGGGGCUGGCUUGAAGACGACGUGGCCGCUCCUUUUGGGAGCUGGGGUCCCACGGGUGAAAGGUCUUUGGUGGUGCUAUUUCUACAUUUGCUGUACGACAC
Silurus meridionalis is the source of this 851-nucleotide long non-coding RNA. RefSeq lists it as uncharacterized. Lineage: Eukaryota; Metazoa; Chordata; Actinopteri; Siluriformes; Siluridae. The transcript is spliced from 4 exons. The record is from RefSeq and is a predicted model, not a curated record.